GCAGAACAGAUCUUUGUUGCCGUUAUCUGUCAGUUCCCACUCCACAACGCAUUUUAUCUAGGAAUCCAGAAGAGAGUCACGGCAACAAAGAGCUGUU
This is a long non-coding RNA of Poecilia latipinna (sailfin molly), 97 nucleotides long. RefSeq lists it as uncharacterized. The record is from RefSeq and is a predicted model, not a curated record. The transcript is spliced from 3 exons. Lineage: Eukaryota; Metazoa; Chordata; Actinopteri; Cyprinodontiformes; Poeciliidae.